UUCAUAACUUCAGUGAAUAAAAUAAGUGUAUUAACUUUGCAAUUGUAAUUUACGCUUAGGUGGAAAACUCUGACACACAAAGAGAUGAGUGUAGCUGCAAAGAAAGGAAAUCUAAAUCUCCAGUAACUACAGGUAAAGAAACAGCACAGGAAACUUCAAAUACCAUAGAUAUGACAGAAGCAGCAAAUAUCCAGAUUGAAGUAAAAGAUGAAGAGAAAGAAAUACCUGAUCAGGAAAAAGUAAGCAGCAUGCCAGGAAUGGAAAAAAACCAAUCGCCUACUCGAGAAGGUGAAUCAGAUGAUUAUCUGAUUACUCAGGAUUUGAGAAAAGGAAACAAUCAGAGUCAGUGCUCCAAAAUAAAAGAUAUCAAGGAUGUGACCUCUGGAGAUGUAGCUGAGGUAUCCAAAGAAAUCAUUAGGAAACAUGCACCUCUUUCAAGUACUGUGGAAGAAAAAGAUGAGUUAACCAGCAAGCAGGACACUUGUGAAAAAGCAAAGCAGAGUCUGGAGUGUAAUUUAAGUUCUGUAGAGGCAAGUAGUCUUAUCCAUCUUAAUUCAUUGCCAUUUGAAAGUUUAGCGUUAAGACAAAAUUACAUUUUCUUUUACUUUGACUGCAGCAAUAAAACUACAAUAUUGAUUUCACCUCAGCCAUAAAAGAAAACAAUGAUUUGAUCACCUGGAGCAUUGUAGAGUGACUA
This 697-nucleotide long non-coding RNA is filed under the name Chelonoidis abingdonii (Abingdon island giant tortoise). Its description in RNAcentral is "lncRNA (ENSCABG00000007724.1)". Lineage: Eukaryota; Metazoa; Chordata; Testudines; Testudinidae. The record is from RNAcentral.